RNAcentral lists this ribosomal RNA (239 nucleotides) under uncultured bacterium. Its description in RNAcentral is "partial 16S ribosomal RNA". It matches the Rfam family "Bacterial small subunit ribosomal RNA", at positions 524 to 762 of the family's 1533-position model. The record is from RNAcentral.
UACAGAGAGUGCGAACGUUGUUCGGAAUUACUGGGCUUAAAGAGCACGUGGGCGGCAUCGUAAGUGUCAGGUGAAAUCCCACGGCUCACCCGUGGAACUGCCUGGCAGACUGCGAUGCUCGAGUGUGGUAGGGGAGAACGGAACUCCUGGUGGAGCGGUGAAAUGCGUAGAUAUCGUGAGGAAGACCAGUUGCGAAGGCGACUCUCUGGGCAUUUCCUGACGCUCAUGCACGAAGGCCA